GGUACGUUUGUUCGUUUGUUUAAUUAACAAUCCAUUAAUGACAUUAAAAACUACGGUAUAAACUUUUAAAAGCGCUAUGUUUUUAUUGUUAAAUACAUAAUUAAUUGUUUUUUUUUUCUUGUUCGUUCUUGAAAAAGUGUUUUGCCGUGUACUGCACUAAGAAAAGGUCUGAUGCUGGCCGCUUAGUAAGUUAACGGUAUAUAGGGAGGGUUUCGUGUUGACCGUUAUAUCUUUUAGAAGGGAAAGUGACAGAGCCCUGUAACCCCAGAUGUACUGUAUAUGUGUCUUUUUUACUUUUAUUGUUUAGAAUGAACCCUCCGAUCGGCAGAAGGAGACUGGGUCUUCAUCUCCUGUUCCGUUAACACGCACACAACCAUUGUAGCCCGUGUGUCCAACACUCCGGGUUGGCACUGGCUAAAAUAUUUCCUUGUGUGUGUUUAACACCCUUAAAUUACAUAAACAUCGUAUUAACAAACGUCACAGACAAAAUAAAAGAGUUCACGUAUACCUGAAUAAUAAAAGCCAAAAAGACACAUGUACAGCACAUCUUUUUUACACAUCGGUGUAAAUGACAGUAAUGUAGGUUUCCUAUAUUCUUUCUCUAUAUUAACCUUUUAUAAUAGGAACUAACUGGUUCAAUUAAAUUAUGAUGUGUGAAAUUUUCGGAUUUGUUACAGAAUGGCUUUUAUGCUCAUUCAGUGGAUUGAGGACCCACCCUCAUGGGACGUCCUUCCCAACAACCAAAAUCAUUAAUGGAAUUUGCAAGAUCAACAGUGUAUGCGAUGUAUCUUAUGGAAAUGAAACAAGCCCAGCAAAGAUACUGCAUAUAGGUUGGUGUUUCUACACUGUAAAAAAUUAUACAUUGAAAACGUUCAGCAUGUAUAAAAAACUAAGUUGCUGCAACUUUAAGGCGUGGGUUAUAUUGUGACAAUGGUUUUAAUCUUACUCUCUCAAUUUUCAAGAUUUUUUUUUGUGUAAAUUCAAGAAAGUUCUUUGGUCCAAAAAAACGAGUUGCUCUCUUUAGUACGACGUAAAAUGUCACGUGAGCAUUAACUGUCGAACAGGUGACCAUCUAGAAAAGACGCCAUUUCGCGCCCUUUUAACUUGAAGACGCACUUAAACGACUGGAUGCAGGACACUUCUGCGAGGGCAUACUUACCAAGGAGUUGAUAUGGAGGCUGCCUCGUUUGGGCAGCUGACUUGUUGGAAACCAAAGUUGGCAUGAAAAUGGGCAUCCUGGAGACCACUGAAGAUGGGGCAGUCCCACCCAAGUCAGUGAACAGCAUAAUUGUGCUGGAGGAGACUGUUGUCCUUGAGGGACUCACUGACUAUCCAACUGCAUUUGGACUGCUUUUUGGGCUUAUUUAUGCCCUCAACAUUGAAUUCCCCAAAGAAUGGAAAUAUACAUUUGAGACCAUUCAGAAGGUUUUCCUUUUUCUUGGAGAGUACUGCUCAGCCCGAACACUGUCUCUGAAGAACAGACUGUUAAAGAGCUAGAGCGCUCAAUUUCUUGCACCUUUUUUUUUUUUGAAUGACCUGAUGUCCUAGUAAAUCCAUGUUUUGUUGUGAUUACAGAAAUGUUUCGUCAGCCGUUUACUGAAGGAUAACCUGCAGAAUUUAGUUGCAGUAAAUUUAUAAUGGGAUCUUCAUUGUGUCAGAGCUGAAUUGUGUAUUUCAUACUUCUUUAUUUAUAGCUUUUUUUUGCUGAAAUGUUUGCAAAAUUUAUCUGCACAUGGCACUCUUAUGGUACAUGAGAAAAAAAAUUAAAAAGGGGUAGCUUUCUUAGUUCCUUUAGAAUUUAUUAUGGGUUCCUAAUUGUGUUACAGUUGCAUUUUUGAGGUCAUCCCUUCUUGUGUGCUUUAUUGAAUUGUUUUUUUGAAAUGUUGUAAAAUUGAUACAGUACACGUUGUAUUCUCUCAUGGAAGUAUGCUAAAAAGUUUUUGAAGAUUGCAGCAGUUGAAGAAGUGAGCAUAAUUUUUCAUAGAAAAUACCUGUUCUCAAUCUCUUCUGUUGGGUUUAACUAAUUGAUAAAGACCAGUUGCUUGAUUUAUUUCAUAUUUGCUUUGUACCCAGCAAUGUGUGAGUGGAUUACUGUUAUGUAAUAACUUUAUCAAUUUGAACAGUGGAUUUACAAAACUUCAGCAAUAAAAAAUGUUGCAUUUGAUACCUGUAAAA
This is a non-coding RNA of Paramormyrops kingsleyae, 2175 nucleotides long. The record is from RefSeq and is a predicted model, not a curated record. NCBI's taxonomy places the organism in Eukaryota, Metazoa, Chordata, Actinopteri, Osteoglossiformes, Mormyridae.